AGAAAUAUGUCUGAUAAAAGAGUUACUUUGAUAGAGUAAAUCAUAGAGGUCCACUCCUCUUAUUUCUA
RNAcentral lists this transfer RNA (68 nucleotides) under Meriones unguiculatus (Mongolian gerbil). RNAcentral's name for it is "tRNA (ENSMUGG00000000008.1)". RNAcentral also lists the same sequence under 1 other name. Lineage: Eukaryota; Metazoa; Chordata; Mammalia; Rodentia; Muridae. The record is from RNAcentral.